UCUAGGCGACGUCGCCCCUGUGCUGGGAUGCUAUAUCACGAUAGCGGAUCAGCAGCCAGUUUUCUGGUCCACAGAUUAGGUGGUGGCGGUCUCGGUGUGAGAUCAAGAUAUAAUCGGUCGUCAUAGUCAGCAGCUAUGGCGGAAUAACGUUCCGUAGGUGAACCUGCGGAAGGAUCAUUAUCGAGCUAGGGUCCUUUGGGCCCCAUCUCCAACCCUUGUCUAAUCUACCAUGUUGCUUUGGCGGGCCCGUUCUCGACCGGACCGCUGGGGACUCCCCUCCCUGGCCCGUGCCCGUCAGUAGCCCCCAUCAAUUCUUAUCACGGUGAUGUCUAAGUAUGAAUAUAAUAAGUAAAACUUUCAACAACGGAUCUCUUGGUUCUGGCAUCGAUGAAGAACGCAGCGAAAUGCGAUAAGUAAUGCGAAUUGCAGAAUUCCGUGAGUCAUCGAAUCUUUGAACGCACAUUGCGCCCUCUGGUAUUCCGGAGGGCAUGCCUGUUCGAGCGUCAUUAUCAACCCUCAAGCUCGGCUUGCUGUUGGGUCUCGCCGUUGCAGAACGGCGGAUCCCCAAAGAUAAUGGCAGAGUCUGUAAGACCCUGGAUGCAGCGAGCUUCUAGCACGCAUCUGGACGGUGUUCAGGCUUGGUCUUAACCCACACAAUCUUCUGGUUGACCUCGGAUCAGGCAGGGAUACCCGCUGAACUUAAGCAUAUCAAUAAGCGGAGGAAAAGAAACCAACAGGGAUUGCCUCAGUAACGGCGAGUGAAGCGGCAACAGCUCAAAUUUGAAAUCUGGCCCCGUUGGGGGUCCGAGUUGUAAUUUGUAGAGGAUGCUUCGGGCAAGGCUGUGGUCUAAUUCGCUUGGAACAGCGAGUCAGAGAGGGUGAGAAUCCCGUCCAGGAUCGUAAGCCGCGUCCAUGUGAAGCUCCUUCGACGAGUCGAGUUGUUUGGGAAUGCAGCUCUAAAUGGGUGGUAAAUUUCAUCUAAAGCUAAAUAUGGGCCAGAGACCGAUAGCGCACAAGUAGAGUGAUCGAAAGAUGAAAAGCACUUUGAAAAGAGAGUUAAACAGUAUGUGAAAUUGUUGAAAGGGAAGCGCUGGCAAUCAGACUUGUGACUGACGGUUCCCCCGGCCUUCUGGCCGGGCUACUCCGUCACGUCCAGGCCAACAUCGGUUUGGGUGGUCGGUAAAAGACCCCGGGAAUGUAUCUACCUUCGGGUCGACUUAUAGCCCGGGGUGCAAUGCGGCCCACCUGGACCGAGGAACGCGCUCCGGCUCGGAUGUUGGCGUAAUGGUUGUCAGCGGCCCGUCUUGAAACACGGACCAAGGAGUCUAACAUCUAUGCGAGUGUUUGGGUGUCAAACCCCUACGCGGAAUGAAAGUGAACGGAGGUAAGAACCCCAUCAGGGGCGCAUUAUCGACCGAUCCUGAUGUCUUCGGAUGGAUUUGAGUAAGAGCAUAGCUGUUGGGACCCGAAAGAUGGUGAACUAUGCAUGAAUAGGGUGAAGCCAGAGGAAACUCUGGUGGAGGCUCGCAGCGGUUCUGACGUGCAAAUCGAUCGUCAAAUUUGUGCAUAGGGGCGAAAGACUAAUCGAACCAUCUGGUAGCUGGUUCCUGUCGAAGUUUCCCUCAGGAUAGCAGUAACGUUUUCAGUUUUAUGAGGUAAAGCGAAUGAUUAGAGGCCUUGGGGUUGUAACAACCUUAACCUAUUCUCAAACUUUAAAUAUGUAAGAAGUCCUUGUUACUUAAUUGAACGUGGACAUUUGAAUGUAUCGUUACUAGUGGGCCAUUUUUGGUAAGCAGAACUGGCGAUGCGGGAUGAACCGAACGUGAGGUUAAGGUGCCGGAAUGCACGCUCAUCAGACACCACAAAAGGUGUCAAUGCAUCCAGACAGCCGGACGGUGGCCAUGGAAGUCGGAAUCCGCUUAGGAGUGUGUAACAACUCACCGGCCGAAUGCAUUGGCCCUGAAAAUGGAUGGCGCUUAAGCGUGCUACCUAUACCUCGCCGUUGGGGUUGAAAUGAUGCCCCAACGAGUAGGCAGGCGUGGGGGUUGGUGACGAAGCC
RNAcentral lists this ribosomal RNA (2059 nucleotides) under Verrucaria nigrescens. RNAcentral's name for it is "eukaryotic LSU rRNA". The stretch from base 667 to 2059 matches the Rfam family "Eukaryotic large subunit ribosomal RNA", at positions 1 to 1410 of the family's 3401-position model. The record is from RNAcentral. Lineage: Eukaryota; Fungi; Ascomycota; Eurotiomycetes; Verrucariales; Verrucariaceae.